GUGCCAGCAGCCGCGGUAAUACGGGGGAUACGAGCGUUAUCCGGNUUUAUUGGGUUUAAAGGGUGCGCAGGCGGAUCGGUAAGUCAGGGGUGAAAAGUUGGGGCUCAACUCCAAUCGUGCCUUUNAUACUGCCGGACUAGAGUGCGAUAGACGUGGCCGGAAUGUGAUGUGUAGCGGUGAAAUGCUUAGAUAUGUCACAGAACACCGAUCGAGAAGUCAGGUCACGAGCUCGCAACUUGACGCUCAGGCACGAAAGCGUGGGGAUCAAACAGGAUUAGAUACCCUGGUAGUCCACGCUGUAAACGAUGAUCACUCGUUGUUGGGCAGCAAUGUUCAGUGGCCAAGCGAAACAAUAAGUGAUCCACCUGGGGAGUACGAUCGCAAGGUUGAAACUCAAAGGAAUUGACGGGGGCCCGCACAAGCGGAGGAGCAUGUGGUUUAAUUCGAUGAUACGCGAGGAACCUUACCCGGGCUUGAACGUAAGACGAAGUUGCAGGAAACUGCAAGCCUUCGGGCGUCUUGCGAGGUGCUGCAUGGUUGUCGUCAGCUCGUGCCGUGAGGUGUUAGGUUAAGUCCUGCAACGAGCGCAACCCUUACCUUCAGUUACCAGCACGUCAUGGUGGGGACUCUGAAGGAACUGCCUACGCAAGUAGAGAGGAAGGUGGGGAUGACGUCAAAUCAGCACGGCCCUUAUGUUCGGGGCUACACACGUGCUACAAUGGCGCGCACAGAAGGUUGCGACCCUGCGAGGGGGAGCCAAUCCCGAAAGCGCGUCUCAGUUCGGAUUGGAGUCUGAAACUCGACUCUAUGAAGUUGGAUUCGCUAGUAAUCGCGCAUCAGCCAUGACGCGGUGAAUACGUUCCCGGGCCUUGUACACACCGCCCGU
Molecule: ribosomal RNA, 886 nt
Filed under: uncultured bacterium
Lineage: Bacteria
Description: bacterial SSU rRNA
Rfam family: Bacterial small subunit ribosomal RNA
Source: RNAcentral